This 1185-nucleotide ribosomal RNA is filed under the name Triticum aestivum (bread wheat). Its description in RNAcentral is "partial small subunit ribosomal RNA". Lineage: Eukaryota; Viridiplantae; Streptophyta; Magnoliopsida; Poales; Poaceae. The record is from RNAcentral.
AUGGCGUCCUCCUCCAACUCCGACUCCGACGGCUGGGAGCCUGCCCCCGCGCCCCCAGGAGCGUUUCCGCCCCCGCCGCCGCCGGCGGCGGCGGCUCCUAGACCUCGUUCCCAGGCUCCUCCCCGUCACCAAGCUCCUACACCUCCUCCUCCCCGGGCUCCUCCCCGUCACCCACAUCCAUCUCAUUAUCUCAACCAACCAUCGUACACGUACAUGGCCUCCUCCCUCUACGCCCGUGCGCCAGUCUUCAGGUCCGGGCCCGUCGCCCCCUUCCCGACGGAGAGCGAGUUGAUCGCGUCGUACCCUCAGAUCGCUUGGGGAGCAUUCAGGUUCCAGCCCCCGACCUCGGCGUCGGCGUCUGCCCACGCUUCCUCCUCCAAGGCUUCCUCGAGGACGGGGAGGGGGUCGUCGAUCACCGAGUUCGCGCCUGUGUCGUCCUCCACGGGGGCUUCGGCGAGCUCCGCGCCGACCGCUUCCUCCGCGCUCGCGGCUUCGCUUGCCUCGUCCUCGACCUCCACGGGGACUUCGGCGAGCUCCGCGCCGACCGCUUCCUCCGAGCCCCCCGCGUUCGCGCCUUCACUUGUGUCGUCCUCGACCUCGACGGGGACUAUGGCGUCUACUAUUUCCUCCGUGCCCUUGGCUUCUGUGCUAGCUCCAUCCUCCUACUCCGAGUCCGCGCCUCGUCACGAGCAGACAUCCUCGGGAUUGGCGUCGUCCUCUUUCUGCUCGCCAGCACCCACCCCGGUCGCACGAUUCUUGGCGUCCUCUGCGCCGGCAUCCGCCACGGUCUCUAGGCCCGUCGUGGUCGCCCCCUUCGCACCCCAGGCGUCGAUAUCCUUACGCCCCUCGACGACGCCCUUGGCUGCCCACCACACGUACUCGUCGUCCAUGGCUUCCUCGGAGACACAGCUGAUCACCUCGUUUGCGCCUGUGUCGUCCUCGACGGGGACUUCGGCGACCUCCGUGGCCUGCGCUUCUGCGCUCGCCUCUUCUUCAGCUUCUGGCCAGCCGGUGUGGAAUUCGAUGUUUUGGCCGGGGGAAUAUUGGGAGAGGCCGGAAGAAAUGAUAUACCCCCAGCCACAGUCCCAGCAGCAAAACGAAGAGCAUGUCGAGGAAGAAGCCGCUGACACAGAGCAGGAGGAGAUAGUGCACCGUGCAGUGGAAUGGGUUCUUGAAGAGCCCUAG